UACGGAGGAUGCGAGCGUUAUCCGGAUUUAUUGGGUUUAAAGGGUGUGUAGGCGGUUUAUUAAGUUAGAAGUGAAAUACCUAGGGCUUAACCCAGGUGCUGCUUCUAAAACUGAUAGACUUGAGUGCAGUAGAGGAAAGUGGAAUUCCUAGUGUAGCGGUGGAAUGCGUAGAUAUUAGGAGGAAUACCGUUAGCGAAGGCGGCAAUCUGGCUGGAAACUGACGCUGAGGUGCGAAAGCGUGGGUAGCAAACAGG
Molecule: ribosomal RNA, 254 nt
Filed under: uncultured Eubacteriales bacterium
Lineage: Bacteria; Bacillati; Bacillota; Clostridia; Eubacteriales
Description: uncultured Clostridiales bacterium partial 16S ribosomal RNA
Rfam family: Bacterial small subunit ribosomal RNA
Source: RNAcentral